GGCGAACGGGUGAGUAAUGCAUCGGAGCGUGCCAUUGAGUGGGGGAUAACGUAGCAAAGUUGCGCUAAUACCGCAUAUUCUGUGAGCAGGAAAGCAGGGGACCGCAAGGCCUUGCGCUCUUUGAGCGGCCGAUGUCAGAUUAGCUAGUUGUUGAGGUAAAGGCUUACCAAGGCGAUAAUCUGUAGCGGGUCUGAGAGGAUGAUCCGCCACACUGGAACUGAGACACGGUCCAGACUCCUACGGGAGGCAGCAGUGGGGAAUUUUGGACAAUGGGGGCAACCCUGAUCCAGCCAUGCCGCGUGAGCGAAGAAGGCCUUCGGGUUGUAAAGCUCUUUCGGCCGGGAAGAAAUCGCAUGGGCCAAUACCCUGUGUGGAUGACGGUACCGGAAUAAGAAGCACCGGCUAACUACGUGCCAGCAGCCGCGGUAAUACGUAGGGUGCGAGCGUUAAUCGGAAUUACUGGGCGUAAAGCGUGCGCAGGCGGUUUUGUAAGACAGGCGUGAAAUCCCCGGGCUUAACCUGGGAACUGCGUUUGUGACUGCAAGGCUAGAGUACGGCAGAGGGGGGUGGAAUUCCACGUGUAGCAGUGAAAUGCGUAGAGAUGUGGAGGAACACCAAUGGCGAAGGCAGCCCCCUGGGUCGAUACUGACGCUCAUGCACGAAAGCGUGGGUAGCAAACAGGAUUAGAUACCCUGGUAGUCCACGCCCUAAACUAUGUCAACUAGGUGUUGGGUGGGUAAAACCAUUUAGUACCGUAGCUAACGCGUGAAGUUGACCGCCUGGGGAGUACGGCCGCAAGGUUAAAACUCAAAGGAAUUGACGGGGACCCGCACAAGCGGUGGAUGAUGUGGAUUAAUUCGAUGCAACGCGAAAAACCUUACCUACCCUUGACAUGCCAGGAACUUGCCAGAGACGGCUUGGUGCCCGAAAGGGAGCCUGGACACAGGUGCUGCAUGGCUGUCGUCAGCUCGUGUCGUGAGAUGUUGGGUUAAGUCCCGCAACGAGCGCAACCCUUGUCGUUAAUUGCAUCAUUUAGUUGGGCACUUUAACGAGACUGCCGGUGACAAACCGGAGGAAGGUGGGGAUGACGUCAAGUCCUCAUGGCCCUUAUGGGUAGGGCUUCACACGUCAUACAAUGGUCGGUACAAAGGGUUGCCAAGCCGCGAGGCGGAGCCAAUCCCAGAAAGCCGAUCGUAGUCCGGAUUGCAGGCUGCAACUCGCCUGCAUGAAGUCGAAAUCGCUAGUAAUCGUGGAUCAGCAUGUCACGGUGAAUACGUUCCCGGGUCUUGUACACACCGCCCGUCACACCAUGGGAGCGGGUUCCGCCAGAAGUAGGUAGCCUAACCGCAAGGGGGGCGCUUACCACGGCGGGGUUCGUGACUGGGGUGAAGUCGAAACAAGGUA
RNAcentral lists this ribosomal RNA (1404 nucleotides) under metagenome. RNAcentral's name for it is "bacterial SSU rRNA". It matches the Rfam family "Bacterial small subunit ribosomal RNA". The record is from RNAcentral.